GAUGAACGCUGGCGGCGUGCUUAACACAUGCAAGUCGAACGAGAAGUGAAGACGGAAACCUUCGGGCGGAAGGCUUUAUUUCGAGUGGCGGACGGGUGAGUAACGCGUGGGUAACCUGCCUCAUACAGGGGGAUAACAGUUGGAAACGACUGUUAAUACCGCAUAAGACCACAGCACCGCAUGGUGCGGGGGUAAAAACUCCGGUGGUAUGAGAUGGACCCGCGUUCGAUUAGCCAGUUGGCGGGGUAACGGCCCACCAAAGCGACGAUCGAUAGCCGAUCUGAGAGGAUGACCGGCCACAUUGGGACUGAGACACGGCCCAAACUCCUACGGGAGGCAGCAGUGGGGAAUAUUGCACAAUGGGGGAAACCCUGAUGCAGCGACGACGCGUGAGUGAAGAAGUAUUUCGGUAUGUAAAGCUCUAUCAGCAGGGAAGAAAAUGACGGUACCUGAGUAAGAAGCCCCGGCUAACUACGUG
Molecule: ribosomal RNA, 478 nt
Filed under: uncultured bacterium
Lineage: Bacteria
Description: partial 16S ribosomal RNA
Rfam family: Bacterial small subunit ribosomal RNA
Source: RNAcentral